This 253-nucleotide ribosomal RNA is filed under the name uncultured bacterium. RNAcentral describes it as "partial 16S ribosomal RNA". It matches the Rfam family "Bacterial small subunit ribosomal RNA", at positions 524 to 776 of the family's 1533-position model. The record is from RNAcentral.
CACGUAGGGGCCAAGCGUUGUCCGGAUUUAUUGGGCGUAAAGAGCUUGUAGGCGGUUUGUCGCGUCUGCUGUGAAAUUUCGGGGCUCAACCCCGAACUUGCAGUGGAUACGGGCAGACUAGAGGUAGGUAGGGGAGAAUGGAAUUCCCGGUGUAGCGGUGAAAUGCGCAGAUAUCGGGAGGAACACCGGUGGCGAAGGCGGUUCUCUGGGCCUUACCUGACGCUGAGGAGCGAAAGCGUGGGGAGCGAACAGG